CUUUGCUGAUCGCACGGUCUUGCACCGGCGACGUAUCUUUCAAGUGUCUGCCUUAUCAACUGUCGAUGGUAGGUUAUGCGCCUACCAUGGUUGUAACGGGUAACGGGGAAUCAGGGUUCGAUUCCGGAGAGGGAGCCUGAGAAACGGCUACCACAUCCAAGGAAGGCAGCAGGCGCGCAAAUUACCCACUCCCGGCACGGGGAGGUAGUGACAAAAAAUAACGAUACGGAACUCAUACGAGGCUCCGUAAUCGGAAUGAGUACACUUUAAAUCCUUUAACGAGGAUCUAUUGGAGGGCAAGUCUGGUGCCAGCAGCCGCGGUAAUUCCAGCUCCAAUAGCGUAUAUUAAAGUUGUUGUGGUUAAAAAGCUCGUAGUUGGAUCUCGGUUUCGGGUGAAUGGUGCACCUUGCGGUGUUUACUAUUUAUUCGGACGAUUUUGUUGGUUCGUUCCUGGUUCUCUUAAUCGAGUGCCUUGAGUGGCCAACACGUUUACUUUGAAAAAAUUGGAGUGCUCAAAGCAGGCGCUACAGCCUGAACAUUAGUGCAUGGAAUAAUGGAAUAGGAUCUCGGUUCUAUUUCGUUGGCUUUCGGAGUCAGGUAAUGAUUAAUAGGGACAGACGGGGGCAUUCGUACUGCGACGUUAGAGGUGAAAUUCUUGGAUCGUCGCAAGACGAACUACUGCGAAAGCAUUUGCCAAGAAUGUUUUCAUUAAUCAAGAACGAAAGUUAGAGGUUCGAAGGCGAUCAGAUACCGCCCUAGUUCUAACCAUAAACGAUGUCGACCGGCAAUCUGCUCUCGUUAAAUUAAUGACUGAGCAGGCGGCCUGCUGGAAACAAGAGUAUUUGGAUUCCAGGGGGAGUAUGGUUGCAAAGCUGAAACUUAAAAGAAUUGACGGAAGGGCACCACCAGGAGUGGCGCCUGCGGCUUACUUUGACCCAACACGGGAAAUCUCACCAGGCCCGGACACCGGAAGGAUUGACAGAUUGAGAGCUCUUUCUUGAUUCGGUGGGUGGUGGUGCAUGGCCGUUCUUAGUUGGUGGAGCGAUUUGUCUGGUUAAUUCCGAUAACGAACGAGACUCUGGCCUACUAAAUAGACGUCAAAUCUUUUAUAGGUUUGUCGUAUGCUUCUUAGAGGGACGGGCGGCGUUUAGCCGCACGAGAAUGAGCAAUAACAGGUCUGUGAUGCCCUUAGAUGUUCUGGGCCGCACGCGCGCUACACUGAAGAAAUCAGCGUGUGUUCCUCAUCUGAAAGGAUUGGGUAACCCGUUGAACCUUCUUCGUGAUGGGGAUUGGGGAUUGCAAUUAUUCCCCAUGAACGAGGAAUUCCCAAUAGGCGCGAGUCAUUAGCUUGCGUCGAUUACGUCCCUGCCCUUUGUACACACCGCCCGUCGCUACUACCGAUCGAGUGAUUUAGUGAGGACUCCGGACUGGUCUCUGAUGUAACUCUCGGGUUGUGUUGGUGUACUAGAAAGUUGUCCAAACUUGAUUACCUAGAGGAAGUAAAAGUCGUAACAAGGUU
This 1519-nucleotide ribosomal RNA is filed under the name metagenome. RNAcentral's name for it is "SSU rRNA". It matches the Rfam family "Eukaryotic small subunit ribosomal RNA", at positions 260 to 1801 of the family's 1831-position model. The record is from RNAcentral.